RNAcentral lists this ribosomal RNA (216 nucleotides) under Campeiostachys nutans. RNAcentral's name for it is "Elymus nutans partial small subunit ribosomal RNA". The stretch from base 23 to 216 matches the Rfam family "Eukaryotic small subunit ribosomal RNA", at positions 669 to 864 of the family's 1831-position model. Lineage: Eukaryota; Viridiplantae; Streptophyta; Magnoliopsida; Poales; Poaceae. The record is from RNAcentral.
GGAUCAGUACGCUGGUCGUGCCUUUGGUAUGUACUGGUGUCACUGAUUCCUCCCUUCUGAAGAACCGUUAUGCCAUUUAUUUGGUGUGGCGGGGAAUCAGGACUGUUACUUUGAAAAAAUUAGAGUGUUUAAAGCAGGCUUACGCUUGAAUACAUUAGCAUGGAAUAAUGAAAUAGGACGUUUGAUUCUAUUUUGUUGGUUUCCAGGAUUGACGUA